Molecule: ribosomal RNA, 431 nt
Filed under: Clostridioides difficile
Lineage: Bacteria; Bacillati; Bacillota; Clostridia; Peptostreptococcales; Peptostreptococcaceae
Description: bacterial SSU rRNA
Rfam family: Bacterial small subunit ribosomal RNA
Source: RNAcentral
GCGUAGAGAGUAGGUGGAACACGAGUGGCGCAGGCGGAAGUGGGGACUGUAACUGACGCGGAGGCACGAAAGCGUGGGGAGCAAACAGGAUUAGAUACCGUGGUAGUCCACGCUGUAAACGAUGAGUACUAGGGGUCGGGGGUUACCUCUCUCGGUGCCGCAGCUAACGUAUGAAGUACUCCGUCUGGGAAGUACGCGCGCAAGAGUGAAACUCAAAGGAAUGGACGGGGACCCGAACAAGUAGCGGAGCAUGUGGUUUAAUUCGAAGCAACGCGAAGAACCUUACCUAAGCUUGACCUCCCAAUGACAUCUCCUGAAGCGGAGAGUUCCCUUCGGGGACAUUGGUGACAGGUGGUGCAUGGUUGUCGUCAGCGCGUGUCGUGAGAUGUUGGGUUAAGUCCCGCAACGAGCGCAACCCUUGUCUUUAGUUG